GGGUUGUGAGGUUAAGCGACUAAGCGUACACGGUGGAUGCCCUGGCAGUCAGAGGCGAUGAAGGACGUGCUAAUCUGCGAAAAGCGUCGGUAAGGUGAUAUGAACCGUUAUAACCGGCGAUGUCCGAAUGGGGAAACCCAGUGUGAUUCGUCACACUAUCGUUAACUGAAUACAUAGGUUAACGAGGCGAACCGGGGGAACUGAAACAUCUAAGUACCCCGAGGAAAAGAAAUCAACCGAGAUUCCCCCAGUAGCGGCGAGCGAACGGGGAGCAGCCCAGAGUCUGAAUCAGCUUGUGUGUUAGUGGAACGGUCUGGAAAGUCCGACGGUACAGGGUGAUAGUCCCGUACACCAAAAUGCACAGGCUGUGAACUCGAAGAGUAGGGCGGGACACGUGGUAUCCUGUCUGAAUAUGGGGGGACCAUCCUCCAAGGCUAAAUACUCCUGACUGACCGAUAGUGAACCAGUACCGUGAGGGAAAGGCGAAAAGAACCCCGGCGAGGGGAGUGAAAAAGAACCUGAAACCGUGUACGUACAAGCAGUGGGAGCACCUUCGGGUGUGACUGCGUACCUUUUGUAUAAUGGGUCAGCGACUUAUAUUCUGUAGCAAGGUUAACCGUAUAGGGGAGCCGCAGGGAAACCGAGUCUUAACUGGGCGUUAAGUUGCAGGGUAUAGACCCGAAACCCGGUGAUCUAGCCAUGGGCAGGUUGAAGGUUGGGUAACACUAACUGGAGGACCGAACCGACUAAUGUUGAAAAAUUAGCGGAUGACUUGUGGCUGGGGGUGAAAGGCCAAUCAAACCGGGAGAUAGCUGGUUCUCCCCGAAAGCUAUUUAGGUAGCGCCUCGUGAAUUCAUCUUCGGGGGUAGAGCACUGUUUCGGCUAGGGGGUCAUCCCGACUUACCAACCCGAUGCAAACUACGAAUACCGAAGAAUGUUAUCACGGGAGACACACGGCGGGUGCUAACGUCCGUCGUGAAGAGGGAAACAACCCAGACCGCCAGCUAAGGUCCCAAAGUCAUGGUUAAGUGGGAAACGAUGUGGGAAGGCACAGACAGCCAGGAUGUUGGCUUAGAAGCAGCCAUCAUUUAAAGAAAGCGUAAUAGCUCACUGGUCGAGUCGGCCUGCGCGGAAGAUGUAACGGGGCUAAACCAUGCACCGAAGCUGCGGCAGCGACACUAUGUGUUGUUGGGUAGGGGAGCGUUCUGUAAGCCUGCGAAGGUGUGCUGUGAGGCAUGCUGGAGGUAUCAGAAGUGCGAAUGCUGACAUAAGUAACGAUAAAGCGGGUGAAAAGCCCGCUCGCCGGAAGACCAAGGGUUCCUGUCCAACGUUAAUCGGGGCAGGGUGAGUCGACCCCUAAGGCGAGGCCGAAAGGCGUAGUCGAUGGGAAACAGGUUAAUAUUCCUGUACUUGGUGUUACUGCGAAGGGGGGACGGAGAAGGCUAUGUUAGCCGGGCGACGGUUGUCCCGGUUUAAGCAUGUAGGCUGAUUGUCCAGGCAAAUCCGGAUAAUCAAGGCUGAGGUGUGAUGACGAGGCACUACGGUGCUGAAGUAACAAAUGCCCUGCUUCCAGGAAAAGCCUCUAAGCAUCAGGUAACAUCAAAUCGUACCCCAAACCGACACAGGUGGUCAGGUAGAGAAUACCAAGGCGCUUGAGAGAACUCGGGUGAAGGAACUAGGCAAAAUGGUGCCGUAACUUCGGGAGAAGGCACGCUGGUGUGUAGGUGAAGUCCCUGCGGAUGGAGCUGAGACCAGUCGAAGAUACCAGCUGGCUGCAACUGUUUAUUAAAAACACAGCACUGUGCAAACACGAAAGUGGACGUAUACGGUGUGACGCCUGCCCGGUGCCGGAAGGUUAAUUGAUGGGGUUAUCCGUAAGGAGAAGCUCUUGAUCGAAGCCCCGGUAAACGGCGGCCGUAACUAUAACGGUCCUAAGGUAGCGAAAUUCCUUGUCGGGUAAGUUCCGACCUGCACGAAUGGCGUAAUGAUGGCCAGGCUGUCUCCACCCGAGACUCAGUGAAAUUGAACUCGCUGUGAAGAUGCAGUGUACCCGCGGCAAGACGGAAAGACCCCGUGAACCUUUACUAUAGCUUGACACUGAACAUUGAGCCUUGAUGUGUAGGAUAGGUGGGAGGCUUUGAAGCGUGGACGCCAGUCUGCGUGGAGCCAACCUUGAAAUACCACCCUUUAAUGUUUGAUGUUCUAACGUUGGCCCCUUACCGGGGUUGCGGACAGUGUCUGGUGGGUAGUUUGACUGGGGCGGUCUCCUCCCAAAGCGUAACGGAGGAGCACGAAGGUUAGCUAAUCCUGGUCGGACAUCAGGAGGUUAGUGCAAUGGCAUAAGCUAGCUUGACUGCGAGCGUGACGGCGCGAGCAGGUGCGAAAGCAGGUCAUAGUGAUCCGGUGGUUCUGAAUGGAAGGGCCAUCGCUCAACGGAUAAAAGGUACUCCGGGGAUAACAGGCUGAUACCGCCCAAGAGUUCAUAUCGACGGCGGUGUUUGGCACCUCGAUGUCGGCUCAUCACAUCCUGGGGCUGAAGUAGGUCCCAAGGGUAUGGCUGUUCGCCAUUUAAAGUGGUACGCGAGCUGGGUUUAGAACGUCGUGAGACAGUUCGGUCCCUAUCUGCCGUGGGCGCUGGAGAAUUGAGGGGGGCUGCUCCUAGUACGAGAGGACCGGAGUGGACGCAUCACUGGUGUUCGGGUUGUCAUGCCAAUGGCACUGCCCGGUAGCUAAAUGCGGAAGAGAUAAGUGCUGAAAGCAUCUAAGCACGAAACUUGCCCCGAGAUGAGUUCUCCCUGAGACUUUAAGUCUCCUGAAGGAACGUUAAAGACGAUGACGUUGAUAGGCCGGGUGUGUAAGCGCAGCGAUGCGUUGAGCUAACCGGUACUAAUGAACCGUGAGGCUUAACCUUACAACGCCGAAG
Molecule: ribosomal RNA, 2923 nt
Filed under: Klebsiella pneumoniae
Lineage: Bacteria; Pseudomonadati; Pseudomonadota; Gammaproteobacteria; Enterobacterales; Enterobacteriaceae
Description: 23S ribosomal RNA
Rfam family: Bacterial large subunit ribosomal RNA
Source: RNAcentral